RNAcentral lists this ribosomal RNA (765 nucleotides) under Triticum aestivum (bread wheat). RNAcentral describes it as "partial small subunit ribosomal RNA". The record is from RNAcentral. Lineage: Eukaryota; Viridiplantae; Streptophyta; Magnoliopsida; Poales; Poaceae.
AUGCCGAAGGGCGCCAAAAAGCGUGCGAAGCUCAAGAAGAAGCAGCAGGGGGGCCAGCCUGCCGGGUCCAACGGCGGCGCCACCACCACCACCAACAACAACGGAAGCAAUAACUCGAGCCACGGCAACGCCGCCAGCGAUGGAAACCACCUACCAAUCAAACUUAACAUUCCUCCCGUGGAUGCGAGCGAGGAUUCGAUGGAGAGCUCCGAGGAGAUGGUGACGCCGAGGGCGGAGGCGGCCGAGGAGGAGAAGAAGGGCGCCACGUCGGAGGUGCCGGUGGAGCGCGCCGUCGAGGUCGCUGAUGAGGGCGCCACGGGCGAGGCCGGGGAGGAGGUCAUGGUUGAUGCUUUACCGCCUGAAGCUGCUGACCGGGAACAAGAGGGUAAGGUGGAUGUGAGGGCGGAGGCGCAUGCCGUGGUGCAGGAACCGGAGGUGCAGGACAUCGUGGUGUCCGAAGCACCCGAGGUGCUGGAACCAGAGGUGAAGAGCGAGGAGGCGGUGAUCCGGGACACGGCCAAGGUGCAUCCUGCGCAUCAACCGGAGACGAAGGCCGAUGAGGUUGUGGUCAGGGAUGCGGACACCGCUGCUGUGGUGCAGGAACCGGAGGCAAAGGGUGAGGUGUCACGGUCUCGUGAGCCAGCUGCUGCGCAGACUACAGAGGUGGUACGCGGACCGGCAGUGGCGGUGGCUGCUUCGGGGCAUCGGGCAAAAUGGUGGAAUUGCUGUGGGAUUUUGGAAGUCUUUGGUGGUUCAGAGAGAUAG